Molecule: ribosomal RNA, 265 nt
Filed under: uncultured bacterium
Lineage: Bacteria
Description: partial 16S ribosomal RNA
Rfam family: Bacterial small subunit ribosomal RNA
Source: RNAcentral
GUCCACGCCGUAAACGAUGAAUGCCAGUCGUCGGGUAGCAUGCUAUUCGGUGACACACCUAACGGAUUAAGCAUUCCGCCUGGGGAGUACGGCCGCAAGGUUAAAACUCAAAGGAAUUGACGGGGGCCCCGCACAAGCGGUGGAGCAUGUGGUUUAAUUCGAAGCAACGCGCAGAACCUUACCAACCCUUGACAUGGCGAUCGCGGUUCCAGAGAUGGUUCCUUCAGUUCGGCUGGAUCGCACACAGGUGCUGCAUGGCUGUCGU